CCUACGGGAGGCAGCAGUGGGGAAUAUUGCACAAUGGGGGAAACCCUGAUGCAGCGACGCCGCGUGAGUGAAGAAGUAUUUCGGUAUGUAAAGCUCUAUCAGCAGGGAAGAAAAUGACGGUACCUGACGAAUAAGCACCGGCUAACUACGUGCCAGCAGCCGCGGUAAUACGUAGGGGGCAAGCGUUAUCCGGAUUUACUGGGUGGAAAGAGCGCGUAGGCGGCAUAGCAAGUCUGAAGUGAAAUCCCAUGGCUUAACCAUAGAACUGCUUUGGAAACUGUGCAGCUAGAGUGUAGGAGAGGUAGGCGGAAUUCCUAGUGUAGCGGUGAAAUGCGUAGAUAUUAGGAGGAACACCAGUGGCGAAGGCGGCUUACUGGACUGUAACUGACGUUGAGGCUCGAAAGCGUGGGGAGCAAACAGGAUUAGAUACCCGGGUAGUC
RNAcentral lists this ribosomal RNA (440 nucleotides) under uncultured bacterium. RNAcentral describes it as "partial 16S ribosomal RNA". It matches the Rfam family "Bacterial small subunit ribosomal RNA", at positions 338 to 795 of the family's 1533-position model. The record is from RNAcentral.